This is a long non-coding RNA of Hippocampus zosterae (dwarf seahorse), 638 nucleotides long. RefSeq lists it as uncharacterized. The record is from RefSeq and is a predicted model, not a curated record. Lineage: Eukaryota; Metazoa; Chordata; Actinopteri; Syngnathiformes; Syngnathidae. The transcript has 4 exons.
CCCCUUCCUGCCCCGAAUCCAGAUUAGAGGGCCGUGUGACGAGAUGAGGAAGGAGGGCAGCCCGUCGCAGUCCUCCUUGGAUACUAACGAUACCGCAGAAUCACAGGAACUGACGGGGACAAGAGAUGACGACAUGAUUAAUGUCACUGGGUCGUCGAGACGCUCGCCCCUCUCGAUCACCUUGGAGAUGUUCUCCUGCAUCACGUCAAUCACCUCGUCCACCUGCGACUGCACACUGAGCACCAUGGAGACACCACAGAGUCAUCGACAGGUGCUGUGGAAUCGCAGAGACUCAAGGGUGGUGACCAUCAACCAACCCUGAUGAAGUCGCCACAACAGAAUUCAAGAUGGGGUGCUUGGUGUUGCUAGGCUGGAGCUUGGCAAAGACAGCUUUCGCUCUCAUGUAAUAAAUGACGAAAAGGACUGUUUAAAUGCCAAUUGCAACCGAACCAGGGAACGUCCGGCUCCAUUCACCGAUCCGGUGAAUUUUGCCGUUCAGCUCUUUGAUGGCUGAGGAGAUUUCCGUCCAGCUGGUGGUGUUGGCAUGGCAACAAAAAGAAAAAUUGGUCCUCUGCUUGCCCUCAUCCAUGUGACCUGAAAGCUGUUUAUAUCAAGCUCACACACACACACACAGACAC